This 433-nucleotide ribosomal RNA is filed under the name uncultured bacterium. Its description in RNAcentral is "partial 16S ribosomal RNA". It matches the Rfam family "Bacterial small subunit ribosomal RNA", at positions 29 to 507 of the family's 1533-position model. The record is from RNAcentral.
AACGAACGCUGGCGGCAUGCCUAACACAUGCAAGUCGAACGAGACCUUCGGGUCUAGUGGCGCACGGGUGCGUAACGCGUGGGAACCUGCCUUUAGGUUCGGAAUAACUCAGAGAAAUUUGAGCUAAUACCGGAUGAUGUCUUCGGACCAAAGAUUUAUCGCCUUUAGAUGGGCCCGCGUUGGCUUAGCUAGUUGGUGGGGUAAAGGCCUACCAAGGCGACGAUCCAUAGCUGGUCUGAGAGGAUGAUCAGCCACACUGGGACUGAGACACGGCCCAGACUCCUACGGGAGGCAGCAGUGGGGAAUAUUGGACAAUGGGCGAAAGCCUGAUCCAGCAAUGCCGCGUGAGGGAUGAAGGCCUUAGGGUUGUAAAGCUCUUUUACCCGAGAUGAUAAUGACAGUAUCGGGAGAGUAAGCUCCGGCUAACUCCGUG